UACGUAGGUCGCGAGCGUUAAUCGGAAUUACUGGGCGUAAAGCGUGCGCAGGCGGUGAUGUAAGACAGAUGUGAAAUCCCCGGGCUCAACCUGGGAACUGCAUUUGUGACUGCAUCGCUGGAGUGCGGCAGAGGGGGAUGGAAUUCCGCGUGUAGCAGUGAAAUGCGUAGAUAUGCGGAGGAACACCGAUGGCGAAGGCAAUCCCCUGGGCCUGCACUGACGCUCAUGCACGAAAGCGUGGGGAGCAAACAGG
RNAcentral lists this ribosomal RNA (253 nucleotides) under uncultured bacterium. RNAcentral's name for it is "partial 16S ribosomal RNA". It matches the Rfam family "Bacterial small subunit ribosomal RNA", at positions 524 to 776 of the family's 1533-position model. The record is from RNAcentral.